Molecule: long non-coding RNA, 3071 nt
Organism: Gossypium raimondii (Peruvian cotton)
Lineage: Eukaryota; Viridiplantae; Streptophyta; Magnoliopsida; Malvales; Malvaceae
Exons: 3
Source: RefSeq, a predicted model, not a curated record
CUCGAGAUACCCUAAAGUACGUUAACCAAGACUCUUAAAUAAAAAAAAAACAAAUUCCUUAGAAAAGAAAAGAAAAGAAAAAUCGAAUUCCCUAAACCUUUUAGUCUACCCAUUCAUCUCGUCUGCUCCGAUGCACCGGAAAACCCAUAUGUGGGAGUGGAAAUCCCUUAGACUUCUUGAAUUAGUUCUCUCUUCAUUUCCCUAGUCCUCCGAUUCGCUGAGCUCAUCGAAGAUUCUCUUGAAAAUAGAGGCCAUACCCUUUGGACUUAGAACAAUAACCCCCAUCUUACAUUCGUUGCUCGUUUAAGAUGAUAGCCUCAUUUUCUGGAGGGGUUUCUUCCAUCCAGUGUCUCUGGCUUUCACACUGUCAUCCCCAACUUGCCAUCUCGUGGGUUGCUCUAUUCGCCGUGCUUGGGACAAAACGGGAGAAUCGCAAGCUUAUCGCCCUCACCUCACAGGUUGUCAAAAUCCAUUUCCUCGAUAAAGAUAACCGCCUGAAGGCAUGCAUACGCUCCUGAUGUUAUUGGAUCUUGAAAAUUUUUGAUUGGGUAAGCACAUGCCCCCAUGAUCAUGCCUUGGUUGUUUCUUAUAAUUACUCAUGCGGUAGCUCUUUGUAUCUACUGUUGGUAGGAUGCCUCAAAGUUAACUUUUAGUGUCUCUCUCAAGGGGCUCCCAUCUUGUUUCUCUAGAGUCAUUUUGAUGUAUUGGUAUCUCUUCUAAAAUGAGUAACUCUGCUAAAUAUGCUUUGAUGAAACUUACGACCUGAUCUGCCAUUUCUCUCUUUCCUUCAUGGUAGUAUAUAUUUUUGUUGUACCAAAUUGCCUAAAAAAUUAUGGCUAUAUGUAUACUCUGUUCAUUAUUAUUCUUUUCAAAAAUAGAUGCUAACCAGAAUUUCCAUUCUUAACUAAUGUCGACAUGCGAGGUUACCAAUCCAAUCUGCUGUAGAACCUGUCUUGCAAAUCGGGCAAAGAGCCUCAUCCCUUAAUCUUUUUUUGCUGUAAAUUACUUAAUGUAGGCAGAGAAUUAUUAAAUACAUUCCAAAUAUGUAUUCUGAUAUUGUCUGGGAUUUUGAGAUUGCAUAGCUUUAUGUAAAAGUUUUUUAUGGCCGUGUCUUGUAAAUAAUUGUUUGCCUUGUCCCAUUCUGAUUACUUGUAAUACACCACUUGUAACCACUUUUAACGGAGUAUUCCUCUGUACUAUCGCCUCUCCAAACUAGCUUUUCUGGAAAGGAGUUAUUCACCAGUGGGAUAGUUAGGGUCUUUUUUGCUGGUUCCUCUGUGAAAAGAUCUUCAAUUAUAUCCUCUUUCCAGGCCCUGGAAUCCACAUGUCAUUCCAAAUAUUCACAGAUAUGCCAUUUUCGUUUCUUCAUCUAAGUUUUUCCUGCAAGAUAAAAUGUGCUCCCCAAAUGCUUCGUCAGGUAAAAGAAGGGUGAGAUCCUAAUCCUGCGUUCAUAAAAUCACUCGUUAGGUAGUAUUUCGCUUUCAUUACCUGUGCUAACAGACUGGUAGAAUUGGUAAUUAGUUUCCAUCUUUGCUUUGCUAAAAGGGUUUUAUUAAAAAUUGAUAACUCUCUAAACCAAUUCCUUAUUGCGUCUUUAGGAUACACAUAGCAUUUCAAGCACACCAAUGUAUCCUUUUAUUUAUCUUCAAGUUACGCCACUAGAACUUACAAAUUUGACUUUCAAAUUCUUGGCAUAAAGAAAUUGGCAAUAUAAAGCACUACAUAGUAUAAAUUGGGAUAACCUAUAGUACGGAUUUUAUAAAAAUCUCAUUUCCUCCUAUUGAAAGGUUACGAACACUCCAUGCUUUAAACCUUUUAAUAAUUUUUUCUUUCAUGUUGACAAACGCAUUUCUUUUCCUUCUCCCUACCAUCGUGGGCAAUCCAAGAUACUUCUCAGGAUUAUUUGAAAUUCUAACACCCAAUUCACCACCUAUUCUUGUUUGGUCUUCCUCACUUGUGUUAUUGCUAAAGUAAAUCAAGGACUUGUCGAAAUUCACCAAUUGUCCAGACAUAUUUUCAUAGUCCUUGAUAAUUGUUUUCAUUGCCAAAGCCCCUUCCAAUGAAGCCUUUCCAAAUAGUAUACUAUCAUCCGCAAAGAAUAAAUGCGUAAUUGAAAGCCCUCCUCUCCCCAAUCUUUCCAUCCCUCAUUGCAUGGCUGAGCAGUCUUGAAAAUCCUUUUGUAUAGUUAAUAAAUAAAUAUGGACUUAAUGGAUCGCCUUGCUGAAGCCCUGCUGUGGGUUUAAAAACUGCCUCUUGCCCCCUAUUUAACAGCACUGAAUAGGAAACACUUUGAACACAUCUCAUUAUCAAAGUGACCCAUCCUUCACAAAAGUCGAGGCCUCUCAUCAUGUUUUCCAAAAAUAUCCACCCUAUCAUAGGCUUUACUCAUGUCAAGCUUCAAUGUAAAAUUCUCAUGCCCUUGUCGUUUCUUUUUUAAAGAAUGCAGCAACUCUUAAGCCACCAAAAUGUUGUUUGUAAUUUGUUUUCCAGGCACGAACGCUCAUUGUGUUUCAUCUAUACAGCUAUUAAGGGCUUUUCGAAACUUAUUGAUAAUUACCCUUGCAAUAAUUUUGUAAAUCACAUAUUUUUUUGGUGCUUUCACUUUGGGUAUCAACACGAUGGAGGUAUCAUUAACACCUCUUAAAUCUUUGUGGUUAUUCAAAACUUCCAAACAAAAUUUGACGUCUCUUCCUAUUAUAUGCCAACACUUUUGGUAAAAGAAAGUGGAGAAUCCAUCCUUUCCCGAGGCCUUAAUUGGCGCCAUUGACUUCAUCGCUUCAGUUAUUUCUUCCUCCUUAAACCUGGUUAAUAACUCGUUACUGACAGCACUUGAUAUACAUGAAUGGAUGUUACUCGUAAGUACUUCACUACUGGAAACGGGUUUUGAUGAAAGCAACUACUUAAAAUAAUUUGUUUUCGAAUCAAGAAGUUUCGCAUCUCCCUCCACCCAUCUUCCAGCUGAAACUUCAAGCCCUUUGAUAGUAUUUCUACGCUUGCGAGAAGAUGCAAAAUCAUGAAAGAAGGAAGUAUUAUGAUCCCCCAUUCGUAACCAAUUGACUCUAGCACGUUGC